GACCGAUAGUGAACCAGUACCGUGAGGGAAAGGCGAAAAGAACCCCGGCGAGGGGAGUGAAAAAGAACCUGAAACCGUGUACGUACAAGCAGUGGGAGCACAGAGCAAUCUGUGUGACUGCGUACCUUUUGUAUAAUGGGUCAGCGACUUAUAUUCUGUAGCAAGGUUAACCGAAUAGGGGAGCCGAAGGGAAACCGAGUCUUAACUGGGCGUUAAGUUGCAGGGUAUAGACCCGAAACCCGGUGAUCUAGCCAUGGGCAGGUUGAAGGUUGGGUAACACUAACUGGAGGACCGAACCGACUAAUGUUGAAAAAUUAGCGGAUGACUUGUGGCUGGGGGUGAAAGGCCAAUCAAACCGGGAGAUAGCUGGUUCUCCCCGAAAGCUAUUUAGGUAGCGCCUCGUGAAUUCAUCUCCGGGGGUAGAGCACUGUUUCGGCAAGGGGGUCAUCCCGACUUACCAACCCGAUGCAAACUGCGAAUACCGGAGAAUGUUAUCACGGGAGACACACGGCGGGUGCUAACGUCCGUCGUGAAGAGGGAAACAACCCAGACCGCCAGCUAAGGUCCCAAAGUCAUGGUUAAGUGGGAAACGAUGUGGGAAGGCCCAGACAGCCAGGAUGUUGGCUUAGAAGCAGCCAUCAUUUAAAGAAAGCGUAAUAGCUCACUGGUCGAGUCGGCCUGCGCGGAAGAUGUAACGGGGCUAAACCAUGCACCGAAGCUGCGGCAGCGACGCUUAUGCGUUGUUGGGUAGGGGAGCGUUCUGUAAGCCUGCGAAGGUGUGCUGUGAGGCAUGCUGGAGGUAUCAGAAGUGCGAAUGCUGACAUAAGUAACGAUAAAGCGGGUGAAAAGCCCGCUCGCCGGAAGACCAAGGGUUCCUGUCCAACGUUAAUCGGGGCAGGGUGAGUCGACCCCUAAGGCGAGGCCGAAAGGCGUAGUCGAUGGGAAACAGGUUAAUAUUCCUGUACUUGGUGUUACUGCGAAGGGGGGACGGAGAAGGCUAUGUUGGCCGGGCGACGGUUGUCCCGGUUUAAGCGUGUAGGCUGGUUUUCCAGGCAAAUCCGGAAAAUCAAGGCUGAGGCGUGAUGACGAGGCACUACGGUGCUGAAGCAACAAAUGCCCUGCUUCCAGGAAAAGCCUCUAAGCAUCAGGUAACAUCAAAUCGUACCCCAANUCAAGGCUGAGGCGUGAUGACGAGGCACUACGGUGCUGAAGCAACAAAUGCCCUGCUUCCAGGAAAAGCCUCUAAGCAUCAGGUAACAUCAAAUCGUACCCCAAACCGACACAGGUGGUCAGGUAGAGAAUACCAAGGCGCUUGAGAGAACUCGGGUGAAGGAACUAGGCAAAAUGGUGCCGUAACUUCGGGAGAAGGCACGCUGAUAUGUAGGUGAAGUCCCUCGCGGAUGGAGCUGAAAUCAGUCGAAGAUACCAGCUGGCUGCAACUGUUUAUUAAAAACACAGCACUGUGCAAACACGAAAGUGGACGUAUACGGUGUGACGCCUGCCCGGUGCCGGAAGGUUAAUUGAUGGGGUCAGCGCAAGCGAAGCUCUUNAACCGACACAGGUGGUCAGGUAGAGAAUACCAAGGCGCUUGAGAGAACUCGGGUGAAGGAACUAGGCAAAAUGGUGCCGUAACUUCGGGAGAAGGCACGCUGAUAUGUAGGUGAAGUCCCUCGCGGAUGGAGCUGAAAUCAGUCGAAGAUACCAGCUGGCUGCAACUGUUUAUUAAAAACACAGCACUGUGCAAACACGAAAGUGGACGUAUACGGUGUGACGCCUGCCCGGUGCCGGAAGGUUAAUUGAUGGGGUCAGCGCAAGCGAANCGACUUGCUCGUGGAGCUGAAAUCAGUCGAAGAUACCAGCUGGCUGCAACUGUUUAUUAAAAACACAGCACUGUGCAAACACGAAAGUGGACGUAUACGGUGUGACGCCUGCCCGGUGCCGGAAGGUUAAUUGAUGGGGUCAGCGCAAGCGAAGCUCUUGAUCGAAGCCCCGGUAAACGGCGGCCGUAACUAUAACGGUCCUAAGGUAGCGAAAUUCCUUGUCGGGUAAGUUCCGACCUGCACGAANCAGCGCAAGCGAAGCUCUUGAUCGAAGCCCCGGUAAACGGCGGCCGUAACUAUAACGGUCCUAAGGUAGCGAAAUUCCUUGUCGGGUAAGUUCCGACCUGCACGAAUGGCGUAAUGAU
This 2185-nucleotide ribosomal RNA is filed under the name Escherichia coli. RNAcentral describes it as "bacterial LSU rRNA". It matches the Rfam family "Bacterial large subunit ribosomal RNA", at positions 482 to 2008 of the family's 2925-position model. The record is from RNAcentral. Lineage: Bacteria; Pseudomonadati; Pseudomonadota; Gammaproteobacteria; Enterobacterales; Enterobacteriaceae.